GCUCCGGUAGCUCAGCUGGACAGAGCAACGGAUUCCUAAUCCGUAGGUCGGAGGUUCGAACCCUCUUCGGAGCACCA
This 77-nucleotide transfer RNA is filed under the name Kiritimatiellaceae bacterium. RNAcentral's name for it is "tRNA-Arg". It matches the Rfam family "tRNA". From Rfam's summary of the family: Transfer RNA (tRNA) molecules are approximately 80 nucleotides in length. Their secondary structure includes four short double-helical elements and three loops (D, anti-codon, and T loops). The record is from RNAcentral. Lineage: Bacteria; Pseudomonadati; Kiritimatiellota; Kiritimatiellia; Kiritimatiellales; Kiritimatiellaceae.